CCUACGGGAGGCAGCAGUGGGGAAUAUUGGGCAAUGGGCGCAAGCCUGACCCAGCAACGCCGCGUGAAGGAAGAAGGCUUUCGGGUUGUAAACUUCUUUUCUGAGGGACGAAGAAAGUGACGGUACCUCAGGAAUAAGCCACGGCUAACUACGUGCCAGCAGCCGCGGUAAUACGUAGGUGGCAAGCGUUAUCCGGAUUUAUUGGGUGUAAAGGGCGUGUAGGCGGGAAAGCAAGUCAGAUGUGAAAACUCAGGGCUCAACCCUGAGCCUGCAUUUGAAACGGUUUUUCUUGAGUGCUGGAGAGGCAAUCGGAAUUCCGGGUGUAGCGGUGAAAUGCGUAGAUAUACGGAGGAACACCAGUGGCGAAGGCGGCCUGCUGGACAGUAACUGACGUUGAGGCUCGAAAGCGUGGGGAGCAAACAGGAUUAGAUACCCUAGUAGUC
This 443-nucleotide ribosomal RNA is filed under the name uncultured bacterium. RNAcentral's name for it is "partial 16S ribosomal RNA". It matches the Rfam family "Bacterial small subunit ribosomal RNA", at positions 338 to 795 of the family's 1533-position model. The record is from RNAcentral.